This 253-nucleotide ribosomal RNA is filed under the name uncultured bacterium. RNAcentral's name for it is "partial 16S ribosomal RNA". It matches the Rfam family "Bacterial small subunit ribosomal RNA", at positions 524 to 776 of the family's 1533-position model. The record is from RNAcentral.
UACGGAGGGUCCAAGCGUUAUCCGGAAUCAUUGGGUUUAAAGCGUGCGCAGGCGGUUCGUUAAGUCAGCUGUGAAAGCCCCGGGCUCAACCUGGGAACUGCGGUUGAAACUGGCGAACUAGAAUCUGGCAGAGGGGGGUGGAAUUCCACGUGUAGCAGUGAAAUGCGUAGAGAUGUGGAGGAACACCGAUGGCGAAGGCAGCCCCCUGGGCUGAGAUUGACGCUCAGGCACGAAAGCGUGGGGAGCAAACAGG